CCAGAAUCUGUUGCAAUAGAGGCCCCUCUACUAAUUUGUUCCAUUUGACACUGGUCAUAACAGCAGCAGUCUGCUGUUGGAUGAUGUGGGCCAUUGUAUAUCUUGCACAGAUGAAACCACUCAUUGUUCCAAUUCUAAGUGAAGGAGAGUGAAGAUGUUCCUGGAAAAGCAUAACAGGACCUUGUUGGUAAACCAACAAUAUGUCUAGUGCAUUGUUCGCCAGGGAAAUAUCUUAUUAAAGACUAAUGGAUCAUUCAAUAUCUUCUCAUUUUGGGUCUCUCUGUAAUAUUUAUCAGCGUGAACUUUGAAUUGAUUUUGCUUUGGUGGUUCACUUUCCUGCUUGUGAUGGCCUCGCAUUCAAAUUUUAAUUCAUUGAGCGGUGAUUCUAUCUGCCAUUGAGUGUACAAAUAUGUAAUUCGGAUGAAAUAAUUGUUGCAGAAGAGUGUAUUUGAUUUUAUAUUCAGGUCAU
This 469-nucleotide unclassified non-coding RNA is filed under the name Hevea brasiliensis (rubber tree). The record is from RNAcentral. Lineage: Eukaryota; Viridiplantae; Streptophyta; Magnoliopsida; Malpighiales; Euphorbiaceae.